UACGUAGGGUGCAAGCGUUGUCCGGAAUUAUUGGGCGUAAAGAGCUCGUAGGCGGUCUGUCACGUCGGCUGUGAAAACCCGGGGCUCAACCCCGGGCCUGCAGUCGAUACGGGCAGACUAGAGUGCGGUAGGGGAGACUGGAAUUCCUGGUGUAGCGGUGAAAUGCGCAGGUAUCAGGAGGAACACCGGUGGCGAAGGCGGGUCUCUGGGCCGUAACUGACGCUGAGGAGCGAAAGCGUGGGGAGCGAACAGG
Molecule: ribosomal RNA, 253 nt
Filed under: uncultured bacterium
Lineage: Bacteria
Description: partial 16S ribosomal RNA
Rfam family: Bacterial small subunit ribosomal RNA
Source: RNAcentral